AUGCACGCAGCUUGCCCGGCAGGGAGUGCUGGCGCUCGCCUGCCUCUCCCAGGGACCGGCGCUCCAGGAAGGAGCUGGCAGGGAAAGCCCCGCUUUGCGACAUGCCCCACCACAGGCAUCUCUGCAGCCCCAUGUGGCGCCGGGCACGGUGAAGCCCUCUGGGGCCAGACAGCAGCUCCCGGGAUAGCCGCUGCCACCGGAGCACCUACGGCACGUUUGCAGAGACCCCUGCACACCGUGGCGUGGGGGGAGACUUCGGGGCCGGCUGGGGGAGCCAGGGCCAGAGCCGCUGCUGGCACCUGCGGGGCGGCCCCAGGGGCUGCAUCCCCGCGGCACGGGGCUGGGCAGGGUUAUUCCGGGGCCGAGGGGCCCAGCUCCCGGCCACGGAGCGAGGGUGCCGGYGGCACGGGGCUGCGAACCGUGUCUGGUCACAGGAUGUCCCUCGGGAGCAGGCGAUUGUUCCUGGAGGCAGAACAAUACCCAGCGGCUUGCCAGGGCGCYGCGGCCGCUCCGCACGCCUGCCCCAGAGCAACCUCCGCCCGCUCCAGCGGGGCCGAGCCCCGGCCGGGGGCGCCCGGCUCCUCGCUCCCCAGCCGGCCAUGCCCCACGCGGGCUCCUCUCGGCCGGUGUGCCGGCGGCUGUCCCGGUCCCGCGGCACGGCGCAGCGCGGCGCAGCUCUCCCUGGGUGCACAGAGCCCAAGCCGAGCGCCGGGGCAGACGCCGCUUUGGGACCCUCAGCUUUCCUGUGUCCGGCACGGCUCGUCCGGCUGCUGCCAGGCCGCGGGGAGGAGGAGACGGGGUGAUUCACGCUUGGAUGGAGCGUGCCGGGAGCUGGGGCAUGGACGGGUCACCAGGAGCCACCUCCGUCCCGGGGAGGAUUUAAGCCCCUGCCUGCGCCUGGGCACGCAGCCCCGCCGCAGCCGGCCCCGCGCGCGCCAUGAGGCUGGCGGCUCUGCUCCUGCUCCUGGGGCUCUGCUGCCUCUGGGCCCGGCUGGUGUCCACAGGUGA
RNAcentral lists this long non-coding RNA (1008 nucleotides) under Apteryx haastii (Great spotted kiwi). Its description in RNAcentral is "lncRNA (ENSAHAG00000000835.1)". The record is from RNAcentral. Lineage: Eukaryota; Metazoa; Chordata; Aves; Apterygiformes; Apterygidae.